RNAcentral lists this ribosomal RNA (1499 nucleotides) under metagenome. RNAcentral describes it as "bacterial SSU rRNA". It matches the Rfam family "Bacterial small subunit ribosomal RNA". The record is from RNAcentral.
AGAGUUUGAUCAUGGCUCAGAUUGAACGCUGGCGGCAGGCCUAACACAUGCAAGUCGAACGGUAACAGGAAACAGCUUGCUGUUUCGCUGACGAGUGGCGGACGGGUGAGUAAUGUCUGGGAAACUGCCUGAUGGAGGGGGAUAACUACUGGAAACGGUAGCUAAUACCGCAUAACGUCGCAAGACCAAAGAGGGGGACCCUCGGGCCUCUUGCCAUCGGAUGUGCCCAGAUGGGAUUAGCUUGUUGGUGGGGUAACGGCUCACCAAGGCGACGAUCCCUAGCUGGUCUGAGAGGAUGACCAGCCACACUGGAACUGAGACACGGUCCAGACUCCUACGGGAGGCAGCAGUGGGGAAUAUUGCACAAUGGGCGCAAGCCUGAUGCAGCCAUGCCGCGUGUAUGAAGAAGGCCUUCGGGUUGUAAAGUACUUUCAGCGGGGAGGAAGGGAGUAAAGUUAAUACCUUUGCUCAUUGACGUUACCCGCAGAAGAAGCACCGGCUAACUCCGUGCCAGCAGCCGCGGUAAUACGGAGGGUGCAAGCGUUAAUCGGAAUUACUGGGCGUAAAGCGCACGCAGGCGGUUUGUUAAGUCAGAUGUGAAAUCCCCGGGCUCAACCUGGGAACUGCAUCUGAUACUGGCAAGCUUGAGUCUCGUAGAGGGGGGUAGAAUUCCAGGUGUAGCGGUGAAAUGCGUAGAGAUCUGGAGGAAUACCGGUGGCGAAGGCGGCCCCCUGGACGAAGACUGACGCUCAGGUGCGAAAGCGUGGGGAGCAAACAGGAUUAGAUACCCUGGUAGUCCACGCCGUAAACGAUGUCGACUUGGAGGUUGUGCCCUUGAGGCGUGGCUUCCGGAGCUAACGCGUUAAGUCGACCGCCUGGGAGUACGGCCGCAAGGUUAAAACUCAAAUGAAUUGACGGGGGCCCGCACAAGCGGUGGAGCAUGUGGUUUAAUUCGAUGCAACGCGAAGAACCUUACCUGGUCUUGACAUCCACGGAAGUUUUCAGAGAUGAGAAUGUGCCUUCGGGAACCGUGAGACAGGUGCUGCAUGGCUGUCGUCAGCUCGUGUUGUGAAAUGUUGGGUUAAGUCCCGCAACGAGCGCAACCCUUAUCCUUUGUUGCCAGCGGUCCGGCCGGGAACUCAAAGGAGACUGCCAGUGAUAAACUGGAGGAAGGUGGGGAUGACGUCAAGUCAUCAUGGCCCUUACGACCAGGGCUACACACGUGCUACAAUGGCGCAUACAAAGAGAAGCGACCUCGCGAGAGCAAGCGGACCUCAUAAAGUGCGUCGUAGUCCGGAUUGGAGUCUGCAACUCGACUCCAUGAAGUCGGAAUCGCUAGUAAUCGUGGAUCAGAAUGCCACGGUGAAUACGUUCCCGGGCCUUGUACACACCGCCCGUCACACCAUGGGAGUGGGUUGCAAAAGAAGUAGGUAGCUUAACCUUCGGGAGGGCGCUUACCACUUUGUGAUUCAUGACUGGGGUGAAGUCGGAACAAGGUA